AGAAUGAAACUGAAGUCCCUGAUACAUGCUGCUUCCAGACGAGACAAUGUUGUUUGUCCAGUCCAUAGAACCGCUGUUCGCAGGAUGGCAUUCCUCUUCUGCUAUUGGCUUAGAGACACAGCUGUUAACCCUCAUCCCUUUAUGUUCCUCGCAUCUUUUCCUUCCUGGCACUGCUUGCCUCCUGCAGAAAAUCCCAUCACCUAAAUUUACCCCACAUGUAGUAGCAUGGUCAUGGUCAUAGUGAGUGCUAGGAUCCAGAUGCACACCAGGCAAAUAAUUUGAAUUCCCUUCUGAAAUUGGCUUAGAACUAGAUCCAUAAAUUCUCAUUCCUUUGUGUCCUUCACAUCUCUUUCUCCCUGGAACAGGUGGCCUUCUACAAGGGAUACUGUCAUUCAUGAUGAAUCCACAUAUGUGAAUGAAGUCCUGAUCAAUGCCACAUUUGUCUGAAAC
RNAcentral lists this unclassified non-coding RNA (450 nucleotides) under Hevea brasiliensis (rubber tree). Lineage: Eukaryota; Viridiplantae; Streptophyta; Magnoliopsida; Malpighiales; Euphorbiaceae. The record is from RNAcentral.